GGCCGCGGGAAUUCGAUUCAGGCCUAACACAUGCAAGUCGAGCGGGGUUUUCGGACCUAAAGGCGGACGGGUGAGUAAUGCGUAGGAAGCUACCCGAUAGAGGGGGAUACCAGUUGGAAACGACUGUUAAUACCGCAUAAUGUCUACGGACCAAAGUGUGGGACCUUCGGGCCACAUGCUAUCGGAUGUGCCUACGUGGGAUUAGCUAGUUGGUGAGGUAAUGGCUCACCAAGGCGACGAUCCCUAGCUGGUUUGAGAGGAUGAUCAGCCACACUGGAACUGAGACACGGUCCAGACUCCUACGGGAGGCAGCAGUGGGGAAUAUUG
RNAcentral lists this ribosomal RNA (327 nucleotides) under uncultured bacterium. Its description in RNAcentral is "bacterial SSU rRNA". It matches the Rfam family "Bacterial small subunit ribosomal RNA", at positions 43 to 366 of the family's 1533-position model. The record is from RNAcentral.